Herpailurus yagouaroundi (jaguarundi) is the source of this 264-nucleotide long non-coding RNA. RefSeq lists it as uncharacterized. The transcript is spliced from 3 exons. The record is from RefSeq and is a predicted model, not a curated record. Lineage: Eukaryota; Metazoa; Chordata; Mammalia; Carnivora; Felidae.
AGGCUUGAAGGCUUCCUCCUUUUCGGGACUGUGCUUGAACUUAGAAUGGAAACUUACCCACAGAAACAAAAGGAGUCUUUGAUCUUCACUACAUCUCAGCCUUUCAGGAGCCAUUUGAGCUUGAGGUCAAGAAGGAAGAGCUAAUCCUUUUGUCUUCUGACUUGGUUGGAAUAAUCAUCUAUUACUACGUAACUGAGUACCUCAAAACCUUGUGGCUUAAGGAAGAAUAAAUGUUUGUUAUUUCCGGCAGUUUCUGUGUGUUCG